This is a small nucleolar RNA of Balaenoptera musculus (blue whale), 134 nucleotides long. Its record names the gene SNORA70. It matches the Rfam family "Small nucleolar RNA SNORA70". From Rfam's summary of the family: snoRNA U70 seems to be exclusive to mammals and is a member of the H/ACA class of snoRNA which contain H (ANANNA) and ACA box motifs. H/ACA box snoRNAs are involved in the conversion of uridines to pseudouridines (5-ribosyluracil) a constituent of structural RNAs (transfer, ribosomal, small nuclear, and small nucleolar). Lineage: Eukaryota; Metazoa; Chordata; Mammalia; Artiodactyla; Balaenopteridae. The record is from Ensembl.
CUUCACCUGGUUAGGCUGACUUACCCACCUCCCUGAUGGGGCUCAGUGUGAAGUGCCGCAAAAAGUGGAUUCCCUGGUUGGGUAUGGCAGCUUACUUCUUUUCUGUAUUGCUCUAAGGGACCUUGGAGACAUCU